UUAACAAAGCACUGAUCUCUCUCUCUCUCUCUGAGAGUCUUUGACUGUGGAAACAUUGCCCAUGAGGUCUGGAAGACUUCUGGAUCAUUAUUGCCACCGACUUCCUCUCUCUGUGAGCAAAGAGUUAUCAGAGGUCAGCUGCAGAGUGGAAAGUGUGGCAGUAAAUUGUGAGGCAAACAGGGAAGCAAAUGACCACUAUCUCCCAGUUUCACAAGAAAGAAGUCAGAAAUACCACUGAAAGGCAUCUUGAAUAAAGAAACACUUCGGUGGACCCUGUGUUCAGGAAACCCCAAGUCCUGCUGAAUUGGUUUGGAUUAAGAGAGAGGAAAAGGAGAGGACUCUUGGUAAACUAUCAGGUAUAGACAGACAUACCCUAGUCUUGUGGCACCCAUGAAUAGAUCCAGUGAGCCUGUGCAGCUGUGUUUUGAUCAGCAGAGAAGUUUCCUGGCAUCCGAGAACUGAAAUCACCUUUUGGGUAUGACAAGUGCAUCUAACUGCAGGGACGCAG
Long non-coding RNA from Lepidothrix coronata (blue-crowned manakin), 508 nucleotides. RefSeq lists it as uncharacterized. The record is from RefSeq and is a predicted model, not a curated record. The transcript has 5 exons. Lineage: Eukaryota; Metazoa; Chordata; Aves; Passeriformes; Pipridae.